Non-coding RNA from Eptesicus fuscus (big brown bat), 432 nucleotides. The record is from the annotation of a RefSeq genome assembly. Lineage: Eukaryota; Metazoa; Chordata; Mammalia; Chiroptera; Vespertilionidae.
AUGGACUGCAGCUGGAGAACCCUCCUCCUGGUGGCCAUGGCGACAGGUGUCCACUCCCAGGUGCAGCUGGUGCAGUCUGGGGCUGAGGUGAGGAAGCCUGGGGCCUCCGUGAAAGUCUCCUGCAAGACUUCUGGAUACACCUUCGCCAGCUACAAUUUGCACUGGGUGCGACAGGCCCCAGGACAGGGGCUUGAGUGGGUGGGGUUGGUUUACCCUGGCAAUGGAGAAACAAGCUAUGAGCAGAAGUUCCAAGGCAGAGUUUCCAUGACCGGAGACAAGUCCACGAGCACAGCCUACAUGGAGCUCAGCAGCCUGAGAGCCGAGGACACAGCUGUGUAUUACUGUACGACACACACAACCCCAGAGGAGGAGGUAACACUGCUGCUGGCAGAUGACAUAUGGGCAGUGAUGGGGACUCUCCUGGCAACAUGA